AUUGAACGCUGGCGGCAGGCCUAACACAUGCAAGUCGAGCGGUAGCACAGGGAGCUUGCUCCUGGGUGACGAGCGGCGGACGGGUGAGUAAUGUCUGGGAAACUGCCUGAUGGAGGGGGAUAACUACUGGAAACGGUAGCUAAUACCGCAUAACGUCUUCGGACCAAAGAGGGGGACCUUCGGGCCUCUUGCCAUCAGAUGUGCCCAGAUGGGAUUAGCUAGUAGGUGAGGUAAUGGCUCACCUAGGCGACGAUCCCUAGCUGGUCUGAGAGGAUGACCAGCCACACUGGAACUGAGACACGGUCCAGACUCCUACGGGAGGCAGCAGUGGGGAAUAUUGCACAAUGGGCGCAAGCCUGAUGCAGCCAUGCCGCGUGUAUGAAGAAGGCCUUCGGGUUGUAAAGUACUUUCAGCGAGGAGGAAGGCAUUGUGGUUAAUAACCGCAGUGAUUGACGUUACUCGCAGAAGAAGCACCGGCUAACUCCGUGCCAGCAGCCGCGGUAAUACGGAGGGUGCAAGCGUUAAUCGGAAUUACUGGGCGUAAAGCGCACGCAGGCGGUCUGUCAAGUCGGAUGUGAAAUCCCCGGGCUCAACCUGGGAACUGCAUUCGAAACUGGCAGGCUAGAGUCUUGUAGAGGGGGGUAGAAUUCCAGGUGUAGCGGUGAAAUGCGUAGAGAUCUGGAGGAAUACCGGUGGCGAAGGCGGCCCCCUGGACAAAGACUGACGCUCA
RNAcentral lists this ribosomal RNA (730 nucleotides) under Pectobacterium sp. Its description in RNAcentral is "bacterial SSU rRNA". It matches the Rfam family "Bacterial small subunit ribosomal RNA", at positions 28 to 749 of the family's 1533-position model. The record is from RNAcentral. Lineage: Bacteria; Pseudomonadati; Pseudomonadota; Gammaproteobacteria; Enterobacterales; Pectobacteriaceae.